Molecule: long non-coding RNA, 1018 nt
Filed under: Ursus maritimus (polar bear)
Lineage: Eukaryota; Metazoa; Chordata; Mammalia; Carnivora; Ursidae
Description: lncRNA (ENSUMAG00000019294.1)
Source: RNAcentral
AGCCGACUGAUUGCACCAUUAACCCCACUUGCCGGCGCAGUUUUGUUUCGGAAAAGAAAAUCUUAAUUAUCUGAUGGCAACAUUUCUGCAGGACAGAAUGAGUCAGACCAGCCCGGUUCGGCUUCUUCCCACUGUGCCAGGGCCAGCCGUUACCCUUGCGAGCCUCGGCUUCCUCUCCGGUGACAAUGGGGGAUGAGCACCGCACCCCAACAAGGAGGGAGACAUCAUCACCUCUUCAGGUGUAUAACCGUCGGGGCUUCGUCCGCUGGCGUACAACGUCCCAGUGCGAGGAGCGCUGGUAGGACCCGGCCGCGUGCUCCUUCCUGAGGACGUUGUCCAAACCCUUGGGCAUCCUCUUAGGAAGCCACAGUCCCAACGCAGCCUCGCAGGGCUUGGGCUGUGCCUGCCUCAGUCCUCUGCAAGGCCCGCUCCUCAGUCCGACUCCUUCCUGCCGGACCGACUGCACUGACCUCGCUCCUUUCCAGCCGGCCUCCCGUGUUCAGGUAGAACUUCAGCUUGGGAGUACUUGGCUCUUUUCUGGGGGAAGACUUUGGCUGCCUUGCACAGAACCCUCACUCUCUCAAAGGUCUCAAUCAGGGCAUACAUUUAAAGUAGGAACUGACUUUGGUUUUCACGUAGUCCAACAUACUUCAUAAAUAAGGAAACUGGUAUCGGAUGCUUAAGUGGGGACAGACUUCUCUGCAGACCCUCUGUGCUCUCAAUUUGGAGUCGCUCUAAUCACAUUGAAAGUAAUCAUUAUUUAUUUAUUUGUAAAGUGAUGGGCGUACAAACAUAAAUGCCUGUUAGAGGCAAGAGGGGAGCUUAAAUGAGCAGCCCAGACCAGGGAGCAACAGGGAAAGAUGGGGACAGUGACUCAUUGCGGGACCGAGGUCUUCCUAGGACGCAGCGACUUCUCCUCUCUUGCUAAAAACUGCUGUUGAGAAACUGGGCCCAGCAUACUGCCAGAUUUUCAGUUCAAGAGAAGGCAGAAACCUGGAGGGUUUUUCUUCUUUUUUUA